GCAGCCGCGCGCAGCCAUGGCCGUGAACCCCAGCCUGGAGAGAGCUUCAAGAACAAGGGCCGUGAUGUGGAAACGAUGCAAAGGCACAGAAAUGAAGCUGAACUGUGGAAGAGCAAAAGGGAUGAACACUUAUUGAAAAAGAGAAAUGUUCCCCAAGAAGAAAGUUUAGAAGAUUCAGAUGUUAAUGCUGAUUUUAAAGCACAAAAUGUAACACUAGAAGCUAUAUUGCAGAAUGCCACAAAUGAUAACCCAGGGGUCCAGUUGGGUGCUGUGCAGGCAGCAAGAAAACUACUAUCUAGUGAGAGAAACCCACCAAUUGAUGACCUAAUAAAGUCUGGGAUUUUACCAAUUCUAGCCAAAUGUCUAGAAAGGGAUGAUGAUCCUUCAUUACAGUUUGAAGCUGCUUGGGCAUUAAAUAAUACAGCAUCAGGAACUUCUGCACAGACUCAAGCUAUUGUACAAUCUAAUGCAGUACCUCUUUUUCUGAGACUUCUUCAUUCACCACAUCAAAAUGUUUGUGAACAAACAGUGUGGGCAUUGGGAAACAUUAUAGGUGAUGGUCCUCAAUGUAGAGAUUAUGUCAUAUCACUGGGAGUUGUCAAACCUCUUCCGUCCUUCAUCAGUCCCUCCAUUUCCAACACCUUCCUUGGGAAAGUCACAUGGGUCAUUGUCAAUCUCAGCAGGAAUAAGGAUCCCCCACCGUCUAUGGAGACAGUUCAGGAGAUUUGGGCAGCUUUAUGUGUCCUCAUAUACCAUACAGACAUAAACAUUCUUGUAGACACUGUUUGGGCUCUGCCAUACUUGACAGAUGAGCAGAUAAAGAUGGUUAUUGAUUCAGGGGUUGUGCCAUUUCUCGUGCCCUUUCUGAGUCACCAGGAAGUGAAAGUUCAAACAGCUGCACUCAGAGCAGUAGGCAACAUAGUGACUGCCACUGAUGAGCAGACCCAGGUUGUUCUCAAUUGUGACGUCCUGUCACACUUCCCAAAUAUUUUAUCACACCCAAAAAAGAAGAUAAAUAAGGAAGCAGUAUGGUUCCUUUCCAACAUAACAGCAGGCAAACCAGCAACAAGUUCAAGCAGUAAUAGAUGCUGGAUUAAUCCCUAUGAUUAUUCAUCAGCUAACUAAGGGAGGUUUGGGAACACAAAAGGAAACUGCUUGGACAAUCAGCAAUUUAACAAUAAAUGGCAGAAAGGAUCAGAUUGAGUACCUUGUACAGCAGAAUGUAAUACCACCGUUUUAUAAUUUACUGUCAGUGAAAGAUUCUCAAGUGGUUCCAGAUGGCCUAAAAAAGCAUUCCAAUAAUGACUGGUGAUGAAGCAAGCACGAUAGCUGAAAUAAUAGAGGAAUGUGGAGGUUUAGAGAAAAUUGAAGUUUUGCAGCAACAUGAAAAUGAAGACAUAUAUAAAUUAGCAUUUGGAAUCAUAGAUCAGUAUUUCUCUGAUGAUGAUAUCGAUGAAGAUCCCAGCCUCAUUCCUGAAGCAACAUAGGGAGGUACUUACAAUUUUGACUCAACAGGCAACCUUCAAACAAAAGAAUUAAUUUUUUUUUUUUUUUUUGGGAUGUUGUUACCUUGUAUUGCCAGCAGGUGGUGCUAUCUCAGCUUCUCGCCCCAGAGGGGUGGAGCCAGACAGGAGUUGGCAGAGCCCAGAGAUGGGAGCCUGCCUCAGGGCACACAGGAGGAGACCCACAGCCGGCAGCUGGUUACGGUGGCAGCAGAGGUGGCAGCAAUCCUAGCAGAUCUUGCCUGCAAGGGCUUCAAGGACUGA
Molecule: RNA transcript, 1766 nt
Organism: Carlito syrichta (Philippine tarsier)
Lineage: Eukaryota; Metazoa; Chordata; Mammalia; Primates; Tarsiidae
Gene name: importin subunit alpha-4 pseudogene
Exons: 2
Source: RefSeq, a predicted model, not a curated record